UACGUAGGGGGCGAGCGUUAUCCGGAUUUAUUGGGCGUAAAGCGUGUGUAGGCGGUUUAUUAAGUCUAAGAUUAAAGCCCGAGGCUUAACCUCGGUUCGUUUUAGAAACUGGUAGACUUGAGUGUGGUAGAGGCAAGUGGAAUUUCUAGUGUAGCGGUUAAAUGCGUAGAUAUUAGAAGGAACACCAGUGGCGAAGGCGGCUUGCUGGGCCAUUACUGACGCUGAGACACGAAAGCGUGGGGAGCAAAUAGG
RNAcentral lists this ribosomal RNA (252 nucleotides) under uncultured bacterium. RNAcentral's name for it is "partial 16S ribosomal RNA". It matches the Rfam family "Bacterial small subunit ribosomal RNA", at positions 524 to 776 of the family's 1533-position model. The record is from RNAcentral.